Molecule: ribosomal RNA, 761 nt
Filed under: Serratia marcescens
Lineage: Bacteria; Pseudomonadati; Pseudomonadota; Gammaproteobacteria; Enterobacterales; Yersiniaceae
Description: bacterial SSU rRNA
Rfam family: Bacterial small subunit ribosomal RNA
Source: RNAcentral
UCACCUCAUGCGCAGCUUACACAUGCAAGUCGAGCGGUAGCACAGGGGAGCUUGCUCCCCGGGUGACGAGCGGCGGACGGGUGAGUAAUGUCUGGGAAACUGCCUGAUGGAGGGGGAUAACUACUGGAAACGGUAGCUAAUACCGCAUAACGUCGCAAGACCAAAGAGGGGGACCUUCGGGCCUCUUGCCAUCAGAUGUGCCCAGAUGGGAUUAGCUAGUAGGUGGGGUAAUGGCUCACCUAGGCGACGAUCCCUAGCUGGUCUGAGAGGAUGACCAGCCACACUGGAACUGAGACACGGUCCAGACUCCUACGGGAGGCAGCAGUGGGGAAUAUUGCACAAUGGGCGCAAGCCUGAUGCAGCCAUGCCGCGUGUGUGAAGAAGGCCUUCGGGUUGUAAAGCACUUUCAGCGAGGAGGAAGGUGGUGAGCUUAAUACGCUCAUCAAUUGACGUUACUCGCAGAAGAAGCACCGGCUAACUCCGUGCCAGCAGCCGCGGUAAUACGGAGGGUGCAAGCGUUAAUCGGAAUUACUGGGCGUAAAGCGCACGCAGGCGGUUUGUUAAGUCAGAUGUGAAAUCCCCGGGCUCAACCUGGGAACUGCAUUUGAAACUGGCAAGCUAGAGUCUCGUAGAGGGGGGUAGAAUUCCAGGUGUAGCGGUGAAAUGCGUAGAGAUCUGGAGGAAUACCGGUGGCGAAGGCGGCCCCCUGGACGAAGACUGACGCUCAGGUGCGAAAGCGUGGGGGAGCAAACAGGAUUAGA